UCCCGGGUUCAAGCAGUGAUCCUGCCUCUGCCUCCAGAGUUGCAGAGAUUAUAGUCACCCACUAUCACAUCCAGCUGAUUUUUGUAUUUUUAGUAGAGAUGGGGUUUCACUAUGUUGGCCGGGCUGGUCACGAACUCCUGACCUCAAGUG
Long non-coding RNA from Sapajus apella (tufted capuchin), 150 nucleotides. RefSeq lists it as uncharacterized. The transcript has 3 exons. The record is from RefSeq and is a predicted model, not a curated record. NCBI's taxonomy places the organism in Eukaryota, Metazoa, Chordata, Mammalia, Primates, Cebidae.